RNAcentral lists this ribosomal RNA (487 nucleotides) under uncultured bacterium. RNAcentral describes it as "partial 16S ribosomal RNA". It matches the Rfam family "Bacterial small subunit ribosomal RNA", at positions 30 to 507 of the family's 1533-position model. The record is from RNAcentral.
AUUGAACGCUGGCGGCAUGCUUUACACAUGCAAGUCGAACGGCAGCACAGGGAGCUUGCUCCUGGGUGGCGAGUGGCGAACGGGUGAGUAAUGUAUCGGAACGUGCCUGGUAGUGGGGGUUAACUACUCGAAAGAGUGGCUAAUACCGCAUGCGAUCUUUGGAUGAAAGCGUGGGACCUUCGUGCCUCGUGCUACUGAGCGGCCGAUGUCUGAUUAGGUUGUUGGUGGGGUAAAGGCCUACCAAGCCUGCGAUCUGUAGCUGGUGUUGGGGGACGACCGACGACACUGGGAGUGAGACACGGCCCCGACUCCUACGGGAGGCAGCAGUGGGGAAUUGUGGACAAUGGGGGCAAGCCUGAUCCAGCAAUGCCGCGCGCAGGACGAAGACCUUCGGGUUGUAAACUGCUUUUGUAGAGAACGAAAAGUCUCUGGCUAAGAUCUAGAGAUAAUGACGGUACUGGAAGAAUAAGCACCGGCUAACUACGUG